Molecule: ribosomal RNA, 301 nt
Filed under: uncultured bacterium
Lineage: Bacteria
Description: bacterial SSU rRNA
Rfam family: Bacterial small subunit ribosomal RNA
Source: RNAcentral
GAUGAACGCUGGCGGCGUGCUUAACACAUGCAAGUCGAACGAAGAUGCCGGAGUGCUUGCACUUUGGCAGACUGAGUGGCGGACGGGUGAGUAACGCGUGGGUAACCUGCCUUAUACAGGGGGAUAACAGUUGGAAACGACUGCUAAUACCGCAUAAGCGCACGGUAUCGCAUGAUACAGUGUGAAAAACUCCGGUGGUGUGAGAUGGACCCGCGUCUGAUUAGCUAGUUGGCAGGGCAACGGCCUACCAAGGCGACGAUCAGUAGCCGACCUGAGAGGGUGACCGGCACAUUGGGACUGA